AUCCCUGUGAGAAUGCCCUACUUAUUCCUCUUUGGAAAAAAGGAGCAGGCAUUAGGCACAACCUUAAGUUAGCCCACAAUGCCUUGCUUAGCCACACCCCCAAGGGAACUCAGCAGUAGUAAACAUUAAGCAAUAAGUGAAAACUUGACUUAGUUAAAAUCAACAGGGCCGGUAAAACUCGUGCCAGCCACCGCGGUUAUACGAGAGACCCAAGUUGACAAACCAACGGCAUAAAAAGUGGUUAGUAUAAUUACCCAACUAAAGCCAAACACCUUCAAAGUUGUUAUAUGCUAUCGAAGGCAGGAAGAACCCCCACGAAAGUGGCUUUAUACUAUACAACCCCACGAAAGCUAGGAAACAAACUGGGAUUAGAUACCCCACUAUGCCCAGCCCUAAACAUAGGUUUUAUUUUACACCUCAAUUUGCCAGGGAACUACGAGCCACAGCUUAAAACCCAAAGGACUUGGCGGUGCUUUAGACCCCCCUAGAGGAGCCUGUUCUAUAACCGAUAACCCCCGUUUAACCUCACCCUCCCUUGUAUCUUCC
Molecule: ribosomal RNA, 546 nt
Filed under: Taenioides snyderi
Lineage: Eukaryota; Metazoa; Chordata; Actinopteri; Gobiiformes; Gobiidae
Description: partial 12S ribosomal RNA
Rfam family: Bacterial small subunit ribosomal RNA
Source: RNAcentral